AGCAGCCGCGGUAAUUCCAGCUCCAAUAGCGUAUAUUAAAGUUGUUGCAGUUAAAAAGCUCGUAGUUGAACUUCGGGGUUUACUCAUUGGUCAGGCUUAAUUGUCUGUACUGGUGAGAUGAAUCUCUACCUUCUGAGGAACUUUCAUGCCAUUUAUUUGGUGUGGUUGGAAAUCAGGACUGUUACUUUGAAAAAAUUAGAGUGUUUAAAGCAGGCUAACGUCUGAAUACAUUAGCAUGGAAUAAUGAAAUAGGACGGACUGAUUCUAUUUCGUUGGUUUCUAGGGUCACCGUAAUGAUUAAUAGGGAUAGUUGGGGGCAUUAGUAUUCAAUUGUCAGAGGUGAAAUUCUUGGAUUUAUUGAAGACUAACUACUGCGAAAGCAUUUGCCAAGGAUGUUUUCAUUAAUCAAGAACGAAAGUUAGGGGAUCGAAGACGAUCAGAUACCGUCGUAGUCUUAACCAUAAACUAUGCCGACUAGGGAUCGGACGAAGUUAAUUAAUAAUGACGCGUUCGGCACCUU
This 520-nucleotide unclassified non-coding RNA is filed under the name uncultured Diversispora. Its description in RNAcentral is "SSU rRNA". It matches the Rfam family "Eukaryotic small subunit ribosomal RNA", at positions 569 to 1089 of the family's 1831-position model. The record is from RNAcentral. Lineage: Eukaryota; Fungi; Glomeromycota; Glomeromycetes; Diversisporales; Diversisporaceae.